AACGAACGCUGGCGGCAGGCCUAACACAUGCAAGUCGAGCGAGGACUUCGGUCCUAGCGGCGGACGGGUGAGUAACGCGUGGGAACGUGCCCUUUGCUUCGGAAUAGCCCUGGGAAACUGGGAGUAAUACCGGAUGAGCCCUUUGGGGGAAAGAUUUAUCGGCGAAGGAUCGGCCCGCGUUGGAUUAGGUAGUUGGUGGGGUAAUGGCCUACCAAGCCGACGAUCCAUAGCUGGUUUGAGAGGAUGAUCAGCCACACUGGGACUGAGACACGGCCCAGACUCCUACGGAGGCAGCAGUGGGGAAUCUUAGACAAUGGGGGAAACCCUGAUCGAGCCAUGCCGCGUGAGCGAUGAAGGCCUUAGGGUUGUAAAGCUCUUUCAGCUGGGAAGAUAAUGACGGUACCAGCAGAAGAAGCCCCGGCUAACUCCGUG
Molecule: ribosomal RNA, 432 nt
Filed under: uncultured bacterium
Lineage: Bacteria
Description: partial 16S ribosomal RNA
Rfam family: Bacterial small subunit ribosomal RNA
Source: RNAcentral